AUCACAGACCAUGGCAGUCUGAAUGAGCUGGAUCUCAUGAGAACUCAUGAAGCUAAGUAGGGUCAGGCCAGGUUAUUCCUUGGAGGAGAGACCACUUAGGAAGACCAGGUGCCUCUGUAG
Molecule: ribosomal RNA, 120 nt
Filed under: Carlito syrichta (Philippine tarsier)
Lineage: Eukaryota; Metazoa; Chordata; Mammalia; Primates; Tarsiidae
Source: RNAcentral